GGUCAAGCUACAAAGGGCUCACGGAGGAUACCUAGGCACACAGAGGCGAUGAAGGACGUGGUUACCUGCGAUAAGUCUUGGGGAGUUGGAAGCACACUUUGAUCCGGGAAUU
Molecule: ribosomal RNA, 112 nt
Filed under: uncultured cyanobacterium
Lineage: Bacteria; Bacillati; Cyanobacteriota
Description: partial 23S ribosomal RNA
Rfam family: Bacterial large subunit ribosomal RNA
Source: RNAcentral